AUACGGAGGAUCCGAGCGUUAUCCGGAUUUAUUGGGUUUAAAGGGUGCGCAGGCGGCCAUUUAAGUCAGCGGUUAAAUCGUGGGGCUCAACCCCAUUCUGCCGUUGAUACUGGGUGGCUUGAUUGCGGUCGAGGUUGGCGGAAUUCGUUGUGUAGCGGUGAAAUGCAUAGAUAUGACGAAGAACACCGAUUGCGUAGGCAGCUGGCCAGACCGCAAAUGACGCUCAUGCACGAAAGUGCGGGGAUCGAACAGGAUUAGAUGCCCUGGUAGUCCGCACAGUAAACGAUGAAUACUUGUUUUCGGCGAUAUAAUGUCGGAGGCAAAGCGAAAGCGAUAAGUAUUCCACCUGGGGAGUACGCCGGCAACGGUGAAACUCAAAGGAAUUGACGGGG
Molecule: ribosomal RNA, 392 nt
Filed under: uncultured bacterium
Lineage: Bacteria
Description: partial 16S ribosomal RNA
Rfam family: Bacterial small subunit ribosomal RNA
Source: RNAcentral